CAUCAUAGAGAGGCAUAAUUGAUGAAGCAUCGGAGUCCAGCAGCCAUCCACGGGUAGUGAGCGAGCGAGAGCUCUAGUCCUUCGUACACCUUGUAAGCGAGUGGUAGUCCCGAGCAGGUGCGGGUGCCUCGCAUGUGCCGAGGUAAGCCAACUCUUGUCGUCCGUGUGUUCGGCCAUAUGUAAUCUUGUCUGUGGAUAUGGAGUGAGUCUGUUCUUGUGUUUUCCUGCUAUUCUUUGGUCUAGUCGCAUGAGAUGAGUCGCUAUGCUAGGGACUCUAUAGGAGAAACCUCUACGUGUGAUCUUGCUCUCGUCUUAGCCGUAGAGAGGCGUCAUGGAGAGCCCUGCAACCGCGAAGAAGUGUUCCCUUUGGGUGGAACUGCCUGGGAAGACGAUAGUGUCCCAUCGAGGUGCGCUGUGUCUAGAGGAUGCUAGAGAGAUACUGAGGUGGACAAUUUUGUAGGAUAGGCUCAAGAUGAGUAUGGUGAAUAGCGAGUAGGACCAACACACCUGCGUGAGCAACGAGUGGCAGACUUUCGGGCUUCGCCAGCCUCUGAGGUCCUCAUAUACGCAUAUACAACACGCGUGAAUAUUAUAUCCGGUAAGUUCUAAUCACCCAUAUUAGCAAAGUAUAUCGGCUAAUCAUACAUAUACGGGAAUAUCUCAAUAUUGAAUCAUACAUACACCGUAUACAUCCAAAUAUAUUAUAAUAUUGUGUCGGGUUGACACUAUAAAAUAAUAUAAUAUAUUGCGGUGUGUGUGGUAUUCAAAGACCAUGAAAUACUGAACAAUACUGAAACACAAGUACUG
Molecule: long non-coding RNA, 807 nt
Filed under: Sorghum bicolor (sorghum)
Lineage: Eukaryota; Viridiplantae; Streptophyta; Magnoliopsida; Poales; Poaceae
Description: long non-coding RNA (SBIC_LNC018209)
Source: RNAcentral